Molecule: long non-coding RNA, 1315 nt
Organism: Gasterosteus aculeatus aculeatus (three-spined stickleback)
Lineage: Eukaryota; Metazoa; Chordata; Actinopteri; Perciformes; Gasterosteidae
Source: Ensembl
AGGGACUCACACUCUUCAUAGUUGUUUUAUGACCCUGAAGGGUUUGGAGAACCUUUGUUGAUAUCACCGGGGUUUGAGGUUCACAUUCUGAUACAUUGAUUGAAGUUUUAGAGACUGAUACUGCAAAUGCUCGACCACUUGUGAAAGUGGUCACAAAGGUCAGCAAAUUGACUGUAAUGAUGGAGGCCUUCAGUGAGGCCGUCGAAUGGUUUAUUUUAAUGGGGAAGUAAGCAAAAAUGGGAAAAACAGGUUGAAGAGUUAUGCAGUAAUGCAUAGGUUUUCAAAGGUGAUGACACAUCAUGACAGAGCAAACAGGCUGAAGGUAAAAGGAGAAGAAAUUGACUGUGAAGGUGAGAAUGUGAGGUAACAUUUUUGUGUAAACUUGCUCGUAUGAGCAUAUUGCUUUGAGGUUAGAAUGAACAAAGAGAACUUGGUUGGUCAAUUAGUUGAUGAAGACAUGGAACAGUCAUACACCAUGAGGGUGAGACCUACAAGAAAAAACUCAAAGAGAUCAUUGAACGGGGACGCGAAGGCAAUAUUGGUGUUAAUUUUUCAUGAGUUGACUAUGGGGGUCAAUAAUCAGUUAUGUCGAAGAUUCCAAAUUUCUAUAUAUGAAUGGCUCCUCAAAUCGGUUGGAAACAAGGCCGUUUGAGAAAGGCAAUUUUCCAAAACAAUGUGUAAAUACUCUAGGAGCAGAUAAAUAUAUGCAGAGGCAUUCUUUACGUCAACGCAUCACAUUCUUCAUUCAGCUGAGGCUCUAAUCCAAAGCGAUUUGCAGGAAGUGAAUUUGAACAAGAGGGAACAGAACCAGAACAGCAAGAACAAAGAAGAGAUUUCUCCUUCUAAGAAAGCACCAUUCGUGAACAUCAGGAGUCAGGACAAAUGAUGACUUUGUUGGGAGUUUAGCUCCCAGUAAAAGAAACAACAGGCAGAUGCUGAGAUGGGAGUGAAUUAGGGACGAGGAUAGAUUUCAAAGGGGAUGCAGAGGUUGAAAGGGGAUGGCGACUCAUGGUCGAGGAGGGAGUGAGCAGACCUCCCUAAACAACAACUGAUAAGAGGAGGAAUCCUGGGGAAGUGUCGGAGCCAUAAAAUCCAUCCACAGGUUGUAUUUCAUCUCAGAGUCACCCAACAGGUUUAAGAAUCACACACGGUUGGUAUGGGGGGAAUUAUUUCACUAUGAUAAAUUUACUGACACAUUUUUCCUCGAAUACAUGUGCAUGGCAAUUGUUAACUAUGUUUUGCUUUUCAGUAGGAACAGGCGACUCCAAUGCGAGACGGUCCAGAUCGGCAACGACACCCAGUAGAAACGGCGUUG